Molecule: ribosomal RNA, 1037 nt
Filed under: uncultured bacterium
Lineage: Bacteria
Description: bacterial SSU rRNA
Rfam family: Bacterial small subunit ribosomal RNA
Source: RNAcentral
AGAGUUUGAUCAUGGCUCAGAUUGAACGCUGGCGGCAGGCUUAACACAUGCAAGUCGAGCGGUAGCACAGGGGAGCUUGCUCUCUGGGUGACGAGCGGCGGACGGGUGAGUAAUGUCUGGGAAACUGCCUGAUGGAGGGGGAUAACUACUGGAAACGGUAGCUAAUACCGCAUAACGUCGCAAGACCAAAGAGGGGGACCUUCGGGCCUCUUGCCAUCAGAUGUGCCCAGAUGGGAUUAGCUAGUAGGUGGGGUAAUGGCUCACCUAGGCGACGAUCCCUAGCUGGUCUGAGAGGAUGACCAGCCACACUGGAACUGAGACACGGUCCAGACUCCUACGGGAGGCAGCAGUGGGGAAUAUUGCACAAUGGGCGCAAGCCUGAUGCAGCCAUGCCGCGUGUGUGAAGAAGGCCUUCGGGUUGUAAAGCACUUUCAGCGAGGAGGAAGGUGGUGAGCUUAAUACGCUCAUCAAUUGACGUUACUCGCAGAAGAAGCACCGGCUAACUCCGUGCCAGCAGCCGCGGUAAUACGAAGGGGGCUAGCGUUGCUCGGAAUUACUGGGCGUAAAGGGAGCGUAGGCGGACAUUUAAGUCAGGGGUGAAAUCCCGGGGCUCAACCUCGGAAUUGCCUUUGAUACUGGGUGUCUUGAGUAUGAGAGAGGUGUGUGGAACUCCGAGUGUAGAGGCGAAAUUCGUAGAUAUUCGGAAGAACACCAGUGGCGAAGGCGACACACUGGCUCAUUACUGACGCUGAGGCUCGAAAGCGUGGGGAGCAAACAGGAUUAGAUACCCUGGUAGUCCACGCCGUAAACGAUGAUUGCUAGUUGUCGGGAUGCAUGCAUUUCGGUGACGCAGCUAACGCAUUAAGCAAUCCGCCUGGGGAGUACGGUCGCAAGAUUAAAACUCAAAGGAAUUGACGGGGGCCCGCACAAGCGGUGGAGCAUGUGGUUUAAUUUCGAAGUAACGCGCAGAACCUUACCACCUUUUGACAUGCCUGGACCGCCAGAGAGAUCUGGCUUUCCCUUCGGGACUAGGACAC